GACGAACGCUGGCGGCGUGCUUAACACAUGCAAGUCGAACGGAAAGGCCCUGCUUGCAGGGUACUCGAGUGGCGAACGGGUGAGUAACACGUGGGUGAUCUGCCCUGCACUUCGGGAUAAGCCUGGGAAACUGGGUCUAAUACCGGAUAGGAGCCAUUUUUAGUGUGAUGGUUGGAAAGUUUUUUCGGUGUAGGAUGAGCUCGCGGCCUAUCAGCUUGUUGGUGGGGUAAUGGCCUACCAAGGCGGCGACGGGUAGCCGGCCUGAGAGGGUGGACGGCCACAUUGGGACUGAGAUACGGCCCAGACUCCUACGGGAGGCAGCAGUGGGGAAUAUUGCACAAUGGGCGCAAGCCUGAUGCAGCGACGCCGCGUGGGGGAUGACGGCCUUCGGGUUGUAAACUCCUUUCGCUAGGGACGAAGCUUUUUGUGACGGUACCUAGAGAAGAAGCACUGGCUAACUACGUG
This 465-nucleotide ribosomal RNA is filed under the name uncultured bacterium. RNAcentral's name for it is "partial 16S ribosomal RNA". It matches the Rfam family "Bacterial small subunit ribosomal RNA", at positions 28 to 507 of the family's 1533-position model. The record is from RNAcentral.